UACGUGGGGGGCAAGCGUUGUCCGGAUUUAUUGGGCGUAAAGAGCGUGUAGGCGGCUAUACAGGUCCGCUGUGAAAACUCGAGGCUCAACCUCGAGACGUCGGUGGAAACCGUAUGGCUAGAGUCCGGAAGAGGAGAGUGGAAUUCCUGGUGUAGCGGUGAAAUGCGCAGAUAUCAGGAAGAACACCCGUGGCGAAGGCGGCUCUCUGGGACGGUACUGACGCUGAGACGCGAAAGCGUGGGGAGCGAACAGG
RNAcentral lists this ribosomal RNA (253 nucleotides) under uncultured bacterium. RNAcentral describes it as "partial 16S ribosomal RNA". It matches the Rfam family "Bacterial small subunit ribosomal RNA", at positions 524 to 776 of the family's 1533-position model. The record is from RNAcentral.